Non-coding RNA from Pyronema domesticum, 82 nucleotides. Lineage: Eukaryota; Fungi; Ascomycota; Pezizomycetes; Pezizales; Pyronemataceae. The record is from the annotation of a GenBank genome assembly.
GGGCCUGUGGUGUACAGGCAGCAUACAAUAUGAUCCAUUCCUGCUGGUGAUUGUGGUGUAGGUUCGAUCCCUAUCAGGCCCA